CGUGUAGGCGGUCAGGUAAGUGGGACGUGAAAUGCCUCGGCUCACCCGAGGAGCUGCGUCCCAAACUGCUUGGCUUGAGUAUGGGAGAGGAUGUGGGAAUUCCUGGUGUAGCGGUGAAAUGCGUAGAUAUCAGGAGGAACACCGGUGGCGAAGGCGCACAUCUGGCCCAAUACUGACGCUGAGGCGCGAAGCUAGGGAGCAAACG
Molecule: ribosomal RNA, 205 nt
Filed under: uncultured bacterium
Lineage: Bacteria
Description: partial 16S ribosomal RNA
Rfam family: Bacterial small subunit ribosomal RNA
Source: RNAcentral